GGAGUCGGCCGGGUAAUCGCUACCUGUCUUUAGGCAGGCAGAGGAAAGUCCGGGCUCCGCAGGACAGAGUGCCAGAUAACAUCUGGGAGGCGUGAGCCUAUGGAAAGUGCCACAGAAAAUAUACCGCCGGCUUAUGUCGGUAAGGGUGAAAUGGUGUGGUAAGAGCGCACCGCGCUGAUAGUAAUAUCAGUGGCAGGGUAAACCCCACUCGGAGCAAGACCAAAUAGAGGGGCGCAUUGUUCGCAAUAAGACGUGGUCCGCGUUGUCCCUGGGUAGGUUGCUUGAGGUGUACGGUGACGUACGUCCUAGAUGAAUGAUUGCCUUUAUCAGCUUGCUGGUAGAACAGAACCCGGCUUAUAGGCCGACUCCCUCA
This 373-nucleotide RNase P RNA is filed under the name Gammaproteobacteria bacterium. RNAcentral describes it as "RNase P RNA component class A". It matches the Rfam family "Bacterial RNase P class A". Rfam says of the family: Ribonuclease P (RNase P) is a ubiquitous endoribonuclease, found in archaea, bacteria and eukarya as well as chloroplasts and mitochondria. Its best characterised activity is the generation of mature 5'-ends of tRNAs by cleaving the 5'-leader elements of precursor-tRNAs. Lineage: Bacteria; Pseudomonadati; Pseudomonadota; Gammaproteobacteria. The record is from RNAcentral.